RNAcentral lists this ribosomal RNA (465 nucleotides) under Vreelandella stevensii. RNAcentral describes it as "partial 16S ribosomal RNA". It matches the Rfam family "Bacterial small subunit ribosomal RNA", at positions 338 to 795 of the family's 1533-position model. Lineage: Bacteria; Pseudomonadati; Pseudomonadota; Gammaproteobacteria; Oceanospirillales; Halomonadaceae. The record is from RNAcentral.
CCUACGGGUGGCAGCAGUGGGGAAUAUUGGACAAUGGGCGAAAGCCUGAUCCAGCCAUGCCGCGUGUGUGAAGAAGGCCUUCGGGUUGUAAAGCACUUUCAGUGGGGAAGAAAGCCUUGGGGCUAAUACCCUCGAGGAAGGACAUCACCCACAGAAGAAGCACCGGCUAACUCCGUGCCAGCAGCCGCGGUAAUACGGAGGGUGCGGGCGUUAAUCGGAAUUACUGGGCGUAAAGCGCGCGUAGGCGGUCUGAUAAGCCGGUUGUGAAAGCCCCGGGCUCAACCUGGGAACGGCAUCCGGAACUGUCAGGCUAGAGUGCAGGAGAGGAAGGUAGAAUUCCCGGUGUAGCGGUGAAAUGCGUAGAGAUCGGGAGGAAUACCAGUGGCGAAGGCGGCCUUCUGGACUGACACUGACGCUGAGGUGCGAAAGCGUGGGUAGCAAACAGGAUUAGAUACCCUAGUAGUC